UACCGCAUACGUCCUACGGGAGAAAGCAGGGGAUCUUCGGACCUUGCGCUAAUAGAUGAGCCUAAGUCGGAUUAGCUAGUUGGUGGGGUAAAGGCCUACCAAGGCGACGAUCUGUAGCGGGUCUGAGAGGAUGAUCCGCCACACUGGGACUGAGACACGGCCCAGACUCCUACGGGAGGCAGCAGUGGGGAAUAUUGGACAAUGGGCGCAAGCCUGAUCCAGCCAUGCCGCGUGUGUGAAGAAGGCCUUAUGGUUGUAAAGCACUUUAAGCGAGGAGGAGGCUACUGAAGUUAAUACCUUCAGAUAGUGGACGUUACUCGCAGAAUAAGCACCGGCUAACUCUGUGCCAGCAGCCGCGGUAAUACAGAGGGUGCGAGCGUUAAUCGGAUUUACUGGGCGUAAAGCGCGCGUAGGCGGCU
Molecule: ribosomal RNA, 419 nt
Filed under: Acinetobacter calcoaceticus
Lineage: Bacteria; Pseudomonadati; Pseudomonadota; Gammaproteobacteria; Moraxellales; Moraxellaceae
Description: bacterial SSU rRNA
Rfam family: Bacterial small subunit ribosomal RNA
Source: RNAcentral